Molecule: ribosomal RNA, 497 nt
Filed under: Paenibacillaceae bacterium CL7.5
Lineage: Bacteria; Bacillati; Bacillota; Bacilli; Caryophanales; Paenibacillaceae
Description: bacterial SSU rRNA
Rfam family: Bacterial small subunit ribosomal RNA
Source: RNAcentral
CCCUGGCUCAGGACGAACGCUGGCCGGCGUGCCUAAUACAUGCAAGUCGAGCGGAUUUAUCCUUCGGGAUAAGUUAGCGGCGGACGGGUGAGUAACACGUAGGUAACCUGCCUAUAAGACUGGGAUAACUAUCGGAAACGAUAGCUAAGACCGGAUAACUGGUUUUCUCGCAUGAGAGAAUUAUGAAACACGGAGCAAUCUGUGGCUUAUAGAUGGGCCUGCGGCGCAUUAGCUAGUUGGUAGGGUAACGGCCUACCAAGGCGACGAUGCGUAGCCGACCUGAGAGGGUGAACGGCCACACUGGGACUGAGACACGGCCCAGACUCCUACGGGAGGCAGCAGUAGGGAAUCUUCCGCAAUGGACGCAAGUCUGACGGAGCAACGCCGCGUGAGUGAUGAAGGUUUUCGGAUCGUAAAGCUCUGUUGCCCUAGACGAACAGCAAGGAGAGUAACUGCUCUUUGUGUGACGGUAUAGGAGAAGAAAGCCCCGGCAACUA